AUAUGGUUUCUGUAUUUUAAGUUGCAAUAAUAUAAAACAUAAUGUCCUUCUUACAUGGUAACUGGUUCAAUAUCAUCUUCACACACAAACUGUUAUUUAUUGGGGUCUAAGUUAACUUCACUUGUGGUUGUAUCUCUUUACUAAGGCAGCAACCAUUUGAUUUUCUGGGGGGGGGGGGCUAUGGUUUUUUUUGGAAAAAAAAGUUUGUUUCUAGUUUUUGGAGAAAA
This 227-nucleotide long non-coding RNA is filed under the name Mytilus galloprovincialis (Mediterranean mussel). The record is from RNAcentral. Lineage: Eukaryota; Metazoa; Mollusca; Bivalvia; Mytilida; Mytilidae.